CAGUCCAGUGUCUCCUAGAAGAAUCACCCGCCUAAUUCUAACCACACUCGGAGCCGUGAAGUCCAGAUGAUCCUCUUCUCUGUAGUCUGUAUUGGAGGCAAUUAGCCUCAGAAGCUCCCGUUAUGACCUUUCCGUCACUCUGGUCUCUUCAGCUAAAGAUCUCCUUCAUUUGCUUCAUCUCUCACUGGCCCACAAAUCUCUCAAACUCACCCAACAAUGCCAUGCUCGAAUUCUCUCUCUUGGUUUCACCCAACACCCCCUUUUGGCCAUAGAACUCGUGUCUGCAUACGCUGUAUAUGGUGUCCCAACUCGUUUUUAACUCGCUCCAAAUCAAGAGUGUUUAUCUAUGGAACUCAUUGAUUAAUGGGUGUGUGAAAAAUCAUGUUUAUAAUGAAGCUUUUGGUUGGUUUUAUCAAGUUCCCGUGGUGUUUUGCUUGAUGAUUAUACACUUGCAACGAUGUCAAAGGUUUGUGGUGAGAUUGGUGACUUGAAUUCAGGGAAAUUGAUUCAUGGGAACUGUUUGAUGAAAUACCUGAAAGAAAUGUGGGUGCUUGGAAUGCUAUUAUAUCGGGAUAUGCGGAUUCAGGGGACUUUAAUUUUGAUAAGGAUAUGUCAGAUUUUGUUAAAGAUAUGCAAAUCGAGGGGUUAAAACCUGAUGUAAUCACAGUCUCUUCUCUUUUGAGUUUGCGUGGCGGGGAUAUGGUGAAAGGGAACUAUGGGAGAGAACUCCGUGGGUUUAUAGUGAGAAACGAGUUGGCUGUGGGUUCGGAGUUUCAUUUGGGAUCUUGCUUGAUAGAUAUGUAUUCUAGGUGUAAUAAAGUUCAUCUAGGUAGAAGGGUAUUUGAUAGCACGAAGGGUGGGAAUGUUUAUACUUGGACAGCAAUGAUCAGUGGUUAUGUUUAGAAUGGAUCUCUAGAGGAAGGACUGGUUCUUUUUCAUGAAAUUCAGGUGAGGGAUGAAGUAGAACUUAUUAAGGCUUCGCUUGUGAGUGUUCUUCCUGCUUGUAGCGCAGUUUCUGGUUUAAAUUCAUGAAUAUGCCAUCAAGAAGGAAUUUAAUGAUGAUGUUUCCUUAUGUAAUGCUUUGAUCGGCAUUUAUUCCAAGUGCGGGAGCUUGGAUCAUGCAAAACAUGUCUUUGAGCAUGGUUCUUUUCAUAGGGAUCCAAUAUCUUGGAGUUAAAUGAUUUCUGACUAUGGAUUGCAGGGGAAGGGAGAGGAAGCUAUCUUUGUAUACAACAAGAUGCUUCAUCUUGGGAAUAAAUCAGACAUGAUAAGAAUAGUAGGGGUUCUUUCUGCUUGUGGUCGGUCAGGAUUGGUAGAUGAAGACCUGCGCAUCUAUAUAUCUACAAUAAAUGAAUAUAGGAUCAAGCCAACGGUUGAGAUUUGUGCUUGUAUUGUGAAUAUGUUAGGCCGAUCAGGCUAGCUUGGCUGAGCUUUAGAUUUUAUUAAAUCCAUGCCAAUGGAACCUAGUCCAGGUGUUUGGGGGGUGCUUGUUAGUGCUUCCAUAAUCCAUGGAAAUGCUGAGAUGCAGGAUCUGGCUUGUAGGUUCCUUAUUCACUUAGAAUCUGAAGGCCCUCCGAAUUAUGUCUCACUUUCAAACUUGCAUGCGUCUUCCAGGAGAUGGGGUGUAGUAUCUGAGGUGAGAAAAAUGAUGAAAGAAAGGUGCUUAAAAAAAACUACCGGGUGCGGUUGGAUAAGCAUUAAUAACACCCCUCAUUCUUUCUAUGAUGCUGAUAAACUGCAUCCAUGUUCCAAGUCAAUGUAUCAACUGCUGGAUGACCUCGUAUUGUUGAUAAAAGGAGCUGCUGUUCCUCAUAAUUUUGAAAAUUUGACAUGGGUGCCUUAAAUAUUGAUAUGCUGUUUUCUGUCUCCCUUGACAAUUGAGGAUAUCUUAUGUAAUCCAUAACCAUAUGCACAGAUAUGCAUUCGUUAACCAAAUGAUUGAGACUCGACUGCUGUCUAUACCUCUGGACAUGUUUGCUGAAAAUUUUGUCAUUCGGGCGAAUUUUGCUUGUAUUCUCAAACUAGCCAAGUUGUUUCAUGUUAGGCUGUGUGGAUUGAUAAUAUGGACACAGCAUUCUAGUUGCGCUUCGGCUCGCCUUUUUUUUUUUUUUUCAAAAAUAAUUGAAACAAAAGGAGUGCAGCCAACCUCGAAGAUAAUUCACAAGAUCUGAAGACUUGCCGAACUGCUAGCGGCACCUGAUUGGCGGGGCAGUGAGUCACAUUCCAUAACUGUCAGGAGCAAUAACAUGCAAGCAUCGUUUGACAGUGCUGGGAUUGACGACUUUUUUUUUUUUUUCUUUGUAGAUAAAAAAUUGAAUAUCUAGCAACAAGAUUGUUGGAGCGCAAAACACUUGCCAAUAAGCUGAAACAGGAAACAGGGUUGCUAGCGUUCCAUAUGGUUCUUCAUACGUGGCUUCCAUUGUAACCAUGUGAUAUCUCCAUGCUUGAUGUUCAAACUUCUUCACUUUGCCAAAUUUGUUACGGAAGCGUGGAUUAGUCAACAAAACUAUGUAUGGAAUAAUACCAGUCUAUUAUUGACAUGUUGCCCAUGGCUGGUGGUUCAAUUGGAGGACAGUCUAAAAGUUCAGAAAAUUGUGAGACAUUUUCUAGCAUGCGAAGAAAGAAAAGACGGACUUUUGUGUUUUCUGCAACUAUAGCAUUAUCUGCUGAUUUUCGCAAGAAGCUAAAGCGUGGCUCAAUAAAAACAAAGCAAUCAACUGUUGCAGGACUGAAUUCUAUAGAAAUGCUCCCUGAACGAGCAGGAAUGAGAGUUAAUGCUACCAUCAUUGAUCUGACAAAGGUGUCGAUUGUCGCAAAUAAGCUCGAGGAAUCAUUUAUGGAGUAUUUGUCUCACAUUUGAAUUUCUGCAGCUAUUAAUCAGUUGCUUUCUCAAUGUAAGUAUAAUGACUGCAGAUGUAGGGAAGAAGAUAAAGAUGCUUACCUUAUUAUAUAUUGAAUGUUCAUGGACAAGGUCGCGCAAUUGUUUUCUGCAUAUCGAUUGCAGCUUUGCACCAUAUUUCUGCCCUUCUGUGAAUUCUAUGCAUCAAUAUGUGGACACUUCAUGUUCAGAUGCAGCAGCGAGAUCGUUUGAAGGAAAGUUUUCAGACAUUUCCUUUUGAAGAAUUGUACUUGCCAGAGGUGAUGAGAAGGCUGUCUCUUACACGUCAAAUAGACAAGAUUACAGUAACGAUUCCCAGGAGAAGGCAAAUAAAACCGGGUUUGAGCGAAAUGCAGACUCAGUUGAGUUAAUGGUGGAGAAUGAUGACAGUGAGAAGGAAAGAGUGAAACUCCAU
Molecule: long non-coding RNA, 3293 nt
Organism: Populus euphratica (Euphrates poplar)
Lineage: Eukaryota; Viridiplantae; Streptophyta; Magnoliopsida; Malpighiales; Salicaceae
Exons: 6
Source: RefSeq, a predicted model, not a curated record